GCUAGGAAGUGUGGUGACGCUACGUUCAGUUACAUGAACGUAGAGGAAAGUCCAGACUGCUGAAAGCAGGGUGCUCCGGUAAUACCGGGAGCUCCGAUGGGCAAGGCCAACGGAGACAGUGAAGCCACAGAGACGAGAAACAUGAAACGACCUUGGCACCAACGUCGCCAAGGGCUUGGGUAAUUCUCCCCGCAGCAACUUCCGAACUGGCCGCUUGAGGACGCUUUCCCGAGGCCAAAAGUUUGAAGGCAUUAGACAGAUGUCACCAAUAACAGAAUCUGGCUUACCGCUUCCUAGCGCUU
RNAcentral lists this RNase P RNA (302 nucleotides) under Candidatus Beckwithbacteria bacterium RIFCSPHIGHO2_12_FULL_47_17. Its description in RNAcentral is "RNase P RNA component class A". It matches the Rfam family "Bacterial RNase P class A". Rfam says of the family: Ribonuclease P (RNase P) is a ubiquitous endoribonuclease, found in archaea, bacteria and eukarya as well as chloroplasts and mitochondria. Its best characterised activity is the generation of mature 5'-ends of tRNAs by cleaving the 5'-leader elements of precursor-tRNAs. The record is from RNAcentral. Lineage: Bacteria; Candidatus Beckwithiibacteriota.